RNAcentral lists this ribosomal RNA (199 nucleotides) under Striatella unipunctata. RNAcentral's name for it is "partial Bacterial small subunit ribosomal RNA". It matches the Rfam family "Bacterial small subunit ribosomal RNA", at positions 91 to 290 of the family's 1533-position model. The record is from RNAcentral. Lineage: Eukaryota; Bacillariophyta; Striatellaphyceae; Striatellales; Striatellaceae.
GAAAGUGGCGAACGGGUGAGUAACACGUAGGUAACCUGCCGCGCAGAGGGGGAUAACGACUGGAAACGGUCGCUAACACCGCAUGGUACUAGCUUGAUGGGAAUCUAGCUGGUUAAAACCUUGGUGCUGCGCGAGGGGCCUGCGUCCGAUUAGUUAGUUGGUGAGGUAAUGGCUCACCAAGACGAUGAUCGGUAGCUGG